AUGUGCUUGCUCAAUACUGAUAGAUGGAAUAUUUUCAAAGCAUGUAUGGUGUGGGUCUGCAAUUUGGCGCAAUGGGAGAUUAUUGAAAAAUACACAUUUUUUCAACAUGACAUGGUCUUGAAAUGGGAGUCUACUAUCAAAUUAAAAUAUGUAGGUACAUCUCAUUGUAGACGACAAGUAUCUAUUUUUUUAUUAAAGGGGGUUAAAUUUGUUAUCAUAUAUGCUUGCCUGCUACUAAAACAACUAAAACAUGGAAUUUCUUUUCAUACUGAAGAUGGAUUCAGUGGGUCUCUACGCCAUUUUGUUACCCAACUGACGAACUGA
This 324-nucleotide ribosomal RNA is filed under the name Triticum aestivum (bread wheat). RNAcentral describes it as "partial small subunit ribosomal RNA". Lineage: Eukaryota; Viridiplantae; Streptophyta; Magnoliopsida; Poales; Poaceae. The record is from RNAcentral.